Molecule: ribosomal RNA, 433 nt
Filed under: uncultured bacterium
Lineage: Bacteria
Description: partial 16S ribosomal RNA
Rfam family: Bacterial small subunit ribosomal RNA
Source: RNAcentral
AACGAACGCUGGCGGCAUGCCUAACACAUGCAAGUCGAACGAGACCUUCGGGUCUAGUGGCGCACGGGUGCGUAACGCGUGGGAACCUGCCCUUAGGUUCGGAAUAACUCCCCGAAAGGGGUGCUAAUACCGGAUAAUGUCUUCGGACCAAAGAUUUAUCGCCUUUGGAUGGGCCCGCGUUGGAUUAGCUAGUUGGUAGGGUAAAAGCCUACCAAGGCGACGAUCCAUAGCUGGUCUGAGAGGAGGAUCAGCCACACUGGGACUGAGACACGGCCCAGACUCCUACGGGAGGCAGGAGUGGGGAAUAUUGGACAAUGGGCGAAAGCCUGAUCCAGCAAUGCCGCGUGAGUGAUGAAGGCCUUGGGGUUGUAAAGCUCUUUUACCCGGGAUGAUAAUGACGGUACCGGGAGAAUAAGCUCCGGCUAACUCCGUG